AAAAGAUGGAUCUCAAAACAAACACUACUCACAACAACAAAACUUAUAUCUCUCAAAUAAUCAAACUUCAACUUCUGUAACAUAGAGUUUUUUAAAAAAACAAAGCAAACAUGAAUAAAGUGAGAAAACACAUGCCUUUCUAAAUAUCAAUCACGGUGAAGACAGAGACGGUGGUGCGCGGUGGAAGUUGGAACGACAGUGAUGCCUUCUGUUUCUUCCUCUUCUCUUUCUUUUUACGUGUUUUUUAUAUCAGUAUUAAUCUCAGAUCCCUCAUCCUCUGCCUUUCUUUUGAAAUUUGAUAGGGUGUAUUUAUAGAGUUUUUUUAUCUAUUUAGUUGCUUUCUUGCUU
Molecule: long non-coding RNA, 348 nt
Filed under: Cicer arietinum (chickpea)
Lineage: Eukaryota; Viridiplantae; Streptophyta; Magnoliopsida; Fabales; Fabaceae
Description: long non-coding RNA (CARI_LNC003165)
Source: RNAcentral